CUACGGGUCGCAGCAGUGGGGAAUAUUGCGCAAUGGGGGAAACCCUGACGCAGCAAUGCCGCGUGGGUGAAGAAGGCCUUCGGGUUGUAAAGCCCUUUCAGUGGGGAAGAUGGUGACGGUACCCACAGAAGAAGCUCCGGCUAACUCCGUGCCAGCAGCCGCGGUAAUACGGAGGGGGCGAGCGUUGUUCGGAAUCACUGGGCGUAAAGGGCGCGUAGGCGGUUUGGCAAGUCAGAAGUGAAAUCCCCAGGCUUAACCUGGGAAUGGCUUUUGAAACUGCUUGACUUGAGUCCGGCAGAGGGUGGUGGAAUUCCCCGUGUAGAGGUGAAAUUCGUAGAUAUGGGGAGGAACACCGGAGGCGAAGGCGGCCACCUGGACCGGUACUGACGCUGAGGCGCGAAAGCGUGGGGAGCAAACAGGAUUAGAUACCCCCGUAGUC
Molecule: ribosomal RNA, 439 nt
Filed under: uncultured bacterium
Lineage: Bacteria
Description: partial 16S ribosomal RNA
Rfam family: Bacterial small subunit ribosomal RNA
Source: RNAcentral